AAGGAGCACUUCUACACACUGCGUCACACAGGUGAUUGUGGUUGUGUCAGAGACCGUUUCGGACCCGAACGUGGUCCGGCGGACGCUCAUGGGUGGAACGCUGACAUGUGCCGAGCCUGGCUCGGAUGUAGUCGACACACUGUUGGGUCCUGAAAGAACAGACGUUCUUUCCAGGCAAAAACGACGAGGCUGGCUUUCAGUCAUACCGCCGAGAAUUUUCUCGGGCUGGUGCUGGGUAAAAGGUCAGGCUUGUGUGUUGUUUGAGAACUGCACAGUGGACGCGAGCAUCUUUGUUA
This 296-nucleotide unclassified non-coding RNA is filed under the name Nocardia otitidiscaviarum. RNAcentral's name for it is "16S-23S ribosomal RNA intergenic spacer region". The record is from RNAcentral. Lineage: Bacteria; Bacillati; Actinomycetota; Actinomycetes; Mycobacteriales; Nocardiaceae.